This is a long non-coding RNA of Nomascus leucogenys (northern white-cheeked gibbon), 102 nucleotides long. RefSeq lists it as uncharacterized. The record is from RefSeq and is a predicted model, not a curated record. NCBI's taxonomy places the organism in Eukaryota, Metazoa, Chordata, Mammalia, Primates, Hylobatidae. The transcript has 3 exons.
ACAUACAAAAAAUGCUUAUUUAAAUUCCUUUUGACCAAAGAGCUGAAAAUUCUGUGUUCCAGUUCAUCUCACUCUUUUUAUUCUGAUGCGAAACACUCUAAA